This 232-nucleotide long non-coding RNA is filed under the name Rattus norvegicus (Norway rat). RNAcentral's name for it is "long non-coding RNA NONRATT016031". Lineage: Eukaryota; Metazoa; Chordata; Mammalia; Rodentia; Muridae. The record is from RNAcentral.
CCAGAGACGCUGCCGAGAGGUGGCAGAGCAAGGUACCAUGAGGAGGAGGCCAGACUGGAGUCCUUUGAGGACUGGCCGUUUUAUGCCCAUGGGACAUCACCUCGUGUACUCUCAGCUGCUGGCUUUGUCUUCACAGGUAAAAGGGACACUGUGCAGUGUUUCUCCUGUGGUGGAUGCUUGGGAAACUGGGAAGAAGGAGAUGAUCCCUGGAAGGAGCAUGCCAAGUGGUUCC